UGUAUGUUCUGCAAAGCUCAAAAAAAGAAAUUGGUCUUUUGUGGCUUCCAGGAAAAAGUGCUUUUCUCCUCUUCUUUUUGUUUUAUGUUUGUUGCACAUCGAAAUCCCAGAAUCAGCUACGAGAAGGAAGGGAGUGAAGACUUUCAGAAGAAUUGGAUUUCUCACUACUGAAGUAGUAUUUCACGCAGACACUGCAUGUACAGGAGAGAAGAGACAAGAAAACUGAGGCCCAAGCAUUCUGCAACUUGCCAGGCUUCAGACAGCUCAGCUGGAGACCAAAUUCUGAGAUCCCUCUCUGUCUUCCCCAGCAUCACCCACAGAAUCCCCAUCUCCUUUCCCCUACACCUGCCUUCCAGGGGACAUCGGCAAUGUCUGGAGUGAGACAGUGAAGAAAACCAUUCAGCAGCUCUACAUUCAGGCCUCAUGGAGAACUGGAAAACGAUUCAGGAAACCAUAGCAACUCCAGCUACCAGAGUGCGGUCUCCUCUGAAGAAGAGAAACCGUUGUUCUAACUCUUCAAAUCCAAGACAUCUAUCUUCACGUCGGAACAUGAGGGACCCAGAGCUUACGACACACAUAUUCCAAGUUGACACAGCUCACUUACAUGAGUGACUUUAAAAACAAAGAGAGGAAGAAAAAAAAGAGCAGGGGAAGAGAAGACAAAAAAAAAAAAAAACCUAAGAGAAAAAAACCCUGAAUGUUUUGAAAAUCAGUACUUGUUGGAGACGGAUGGAGCUGUGAGGGGCCAGGUGGCCGUCUGUUCUAAAAUCCCGGGUGAGGACACCCAGGAUAACUCCGCA
Molecule: long non-coding RNA, 800 nt
Organism: Suricata suricatta (meerkat)
Lineage: Eukaryota; Metazoa; Chordata; Mammalia; Carnivora; Herpestidae
Exons: 4
Source: RefSeq, a predicted model, not a curated record